UGGGGAAUAUUGGACAAUGGGCGCAAGCCUGAUCCAGCCAUGCCGCGGGAGUGAUGAAGGCCCUAGGGUUGUAAAGCUCUUUCACCGGUGAAGAUAAUGACGGUAACCGGAGAAGAAGCCCCGGCUAACUUCGUGCCAGCAGCCGCGGUAAUACGAAGGGGGCUAGCGUUGUUCGGAUUUACUGGGCGUAAAGCGCACGUAGGCGGACUAUUAAGUCAGGGGUGAAAUCCCGGGGCUCAACCCCGGAACUGCCUUUGAUACUGGUAGUCUUGAGUUCGAGAGAGGUGAGUGGAAUUCCGAGUGUAGAGGUGAAAUUCGUAGAUAUUCGGAGGAACACCAGUGGCGAAGGCGGCUCACUGGCUCGAUACUGACGCUGAGGUGCGAAAGCGUGGGGAGCAAACAGG
RNAcentral lists this ribosomal RNA (404 nucleotides) under Actinomycetes bacterium. RNAcentral's name for it is "Actinobacteria bacterium partial 16S ribosomal RNA". It matches the Rfam family "Bacterial small subunit ribosomal RNA", at positions 355 to 776 of the family's 1533-position model. Lineage: Bacteria; Bacillati; Actinomycetota; Actinomycetes. The record is from RNAcentral.